ACGGAAGGCAGCAGUGAGGAAUAUUGGUCAAUGGGCGGAAGCCUGAACCAGCCAAGUCGCGUGAAGGAAGACGGUAUUAUGUAUUGUAAACUUCUUUAGCAGGGGAGCAAUAAUCGCCACGCGUGGUGAGAUGAGAGUACCCUGAGAAUAAGGAUCGGCUAACUCCGUGCCAGCAGCCGCGGUAAUACGGAGGAUCCGAGCGUUAUCCGGAUUUAUUGGGUUUAAAGGGUGCGCAGGCGGCUUUUUAAGUCAGUGGUUAAAUCGUGACGCUCAACGUCAUCACGCCAUUGAUACUGGAGAGCUUGAUUGCGGUCGAGGUUUGCGGAAUUCGUUGUGUAGCGGUGAAAUGCAUAGAUAUGACGAAGAACACCGAUUGCGUAGGCAGCAGACCAGGCCGUAAAUGACGCUCAUGCACGAAAGUGCGGGGAUCGAACAGGAUUAGAUACCCUGGUA
Molecule: ribosomal RNA, 453 nt
Filed under: uncultured Porphyromonadaceae bacterium
Lineage: Bacteria; Pseudomonadati; Bacteroidota; Bacteroidia; Bacteroidales; Porphyromonadaceae
Description: partial 16S ribosomal RNA
Rfam family: Bacterial small subunit ribosomal RNA
Source: RNAcentral